This 155-nucleotide unclassified non-coding RNA is filed under the name uncultured Microbotryomycetes. Its description in RNAcentral is "sequence contains ITS1". Lineage: Eukaryota; Fungi; Basidiomycota; Microbotryomycetes. The record is from RNAcentral.
GUGAAUAUUAGGGCGUCUACUUCGGUAGGGCCUGACCUCCACUUUCUAACUCUGUGCACUUAUUUGGCGGAAAAGGGAACUAGUAAUAGUUCUUACUUUCUGCGGCUUACUUUAAACACUAGUCAAAGUAUGUAACGAAAUAUCGAAACAAAUAA